Molecule: ribosomal RNA, 253 nt
Filed under: uncultured bacterium
Lineage: Bacteria
Description: partial 16S ribosomal RNA
Rfam family: Bacterial small subunit ribosomal RNA
Source: RNAcentral
UACGAAGGGGGCUAGCGUUGUUCGGAAUCACUGGGCGUAAAGCGCACGUAGGCGGAUGUGCCAGUCAGGGGUGAAAUCCCGGAGCUCAACUUCGGAACUGCCUCUGAUACAGCACGUCUUGAGUCCGGAAGAGGUGGGUGGAAUUCCUAGUGUAGAGGUGAAAUUCGUAGAUAUUAGGAAGAACACCGGUGGCGAAGGCGGCCCACUGGUCCGGUACUGACGCUGAGGUGCGAAAGCGUGGGGAGCAAACGGG